UACAGAGGUCUCAAGCGUUGUUCGGAUUCAUUGGGCGUAAAGGGUGCGUAGGUGGCGCGGUAAGUCGGGUGUGAAAUUUCGGAGCUUAACUCCGAAACUGCAUCCGAUACUGCCGUGCUUGAGGACUGGAGAGGAGACUGGAAUUUACGGUGUAGCGGUGAAAUGCGUAGAUAUCGUAAGGAAGACCAGUGGCGAAGGCGGGUCUCUGGACAGUUCCUGACGCUGAGGCACGAAGGCCAGGGGAGCAAACGGG
RNAcentral lists this ribosomal RNA (253 nucleotides) under uncultured bacterium. RNAcentral describes it as "partial 16S ribosomal RNA". It matches the Rfam family "Bacterial small subunit ribosomal RNA", at positions 524 to 776 of the family's 1533-position model. The record is from RNAcentral.